AGGCAUGUAGCUCAGAGGCAGAGUACUUGCCUAGCAUGCAUGAAAUCCUGAGUUCAAUCCCCAGCACCACUA
This 72-nucleotide transfer RNA is filed under the name Dipodomys ordii (Ord's kangaroo rat). It matches the Rfam family "tRNA". From Rfam's summary of the family: Transfer RNA (tRNA) molecules are approximately 80 nucleotides in length. Their secondary structure includes four short double-helical elements and three loops (D, anti-codon, and T loops). Further hydrogen bonds mediate the characteristic L-shaped molecular structure. tRNAs have two regions of fundamental functional importance: the anti-codon, which is responsible for specific mRNA codon recognition, and the 3' end, to which the tRNAs corresponding amino acid is attached (by aminoacyl-tRNA synthetases). tRNAs cope with the degeneracy of the genetic code in two manners: having more than one tRNA (with a specific anti-codon) for a particular amino acid; and 'wobble' base-pairing, i.e. permitting non-standard base-pairing at the 3rd anti-codon position. Lineage: Eukaryota; Metazoa; Chordata; Mammalia; Rodentia; Heteromyidae. The record is from Rfam by way of RNAcentral.